Long non-coding RNA from Phycodurus eques (leafy seadragon), 654 nucleotides. RefSeq lists it as uncharacterized. The transcript has 3 exons. The record is from RefSeq and is a predicted model, not a curated record. NCBI's taxonomy places the organism in Eukaryota, Metazoa, Chordata, Actinopteri, Syngnathiformes, Syngnathidae.
GAGUGGGGCGGGCAGGCGAAAAUUCGCCUCCUUCGCCAUUCGGUCAAAGCUGGGAGAGGUGACCUACAAGCCACAUUCACUUUGUGACAACGAAUCAGCAUUGAGAAUGGACUGCGCCGCACACUGUGGGCACCCUGAGCUGUAUGACACGUUAUCAGUGCCGGGGACCAAGCAAGAAAGGAGCAGGCUUGGAAAGUUGUGAGGGAGGAAGCUGGCAUACCUGAUGAACUUUAUUGGACAGAUUAGAGGGAACAGGAGGGGGGUCAUGAGAACAGGACGCUGCUGACUCUGCCCCACCUCAAAGACUGCCUUGCCUAAAAAAAGGAAAUGGAAAAGGAGCGGAGCAGUUGAGGAGAAGACUUGAGCAUUUUCUCCAUUUCCUGAAGGACAGUACAAAUGUUCCUCCACCCCAGCCCCCGCUGCGAGGACCCACUGUUCAUGACAAGCAUGAUUCCUUCCUUCUGAUUCCAGAAGGAAUAUGUCAAAUUUUAACUUCAUAAAUUAUUGUAUGAACAAAGCACAUUUACUCUAAAUUUGGACCAAUUGGAUCAAUAAUGUCCAGGUGGCAAACUUAUCCAGGAAGGAUUCAGGCUUUUAUACUUUUUGUUGUUGUUGUUUUGUUCGUGAUGGAUGGUUAGUUAAAACUUUUUUGAA